This 254-nucleotide ribosomal RNA is filed under the name uncultured bacterium. RNAcentral's name for it is "partial 16S ribosomal RNA". It matches the Rfam family "Bacterial small subunit ribosomal RNA", at positions 524 to 776 of the family's 1533-position model. The record is from RNAcentral.
UACGUAGGUGGCAAGCGUUGUCCGGAUUUACUGGGCGUAAAGAGCGCGCAGGCGGUCGCUCAAGUCGCGUGUGAAAGCCCCCGGCUCAACUGAGGAGGGUCACGCGAUACUGAUCGACUCGAAGGCAGGAGAGGGUAGUGGAAUUCCCGGUGUAGUGGUGAAAUGCGUAGAUAUCGGGAGGAACACCAGUGGCGAAGGCGACUACCUGGCCUGUUUCUUGACGCUGAGGCGCGAAAGCUAGGGGAGCAAACGGG